This 254-nucleotide ribosomal RNA is filed under the name uncultured bacterium. RNAcentral's name for it is "partial 16S ribosomal RNA". It matches the Rfam family "Bacterial small subunit ribosomal RNA", at positions 524 to 776 of the family's 1533-position model. The record is from RNAcentral.
UACGAAGGGGGCUAGCGUUGUUCGGAAUUACUGGGCGUAAAGCGUAUGCAGGCGGAUCGUUAAGUCGGGGGUGAAAUCCCGAGGCUCAACCUCGGAACUGCCUUCGAUACUGGCGACCUUCGAGUCCGGGAGAGGUAAGUGGAACUGCGAGUGUAGAGGUGAAAUUCGUAGAUAUUCGCAAGAACACCAGUGGCGAAGGCGGCUUACUGGUCCGGUUCUGACGCUGAGGCGCGAAAGCGUGGGGAGCAAACAGG